This 500-nucleotide ribosomal RNA is filed under the name uncultured bacterium. RNAcentral's name for it is "partial 16S ribosomal RNA". It matches the Rfam family "Bacterial small subunit ribosomal RNA", at positions 30 to 523 of the family's 1533-position model. The record is from RNAcentral.
AUUGAACGCUGGCGGAAUGCUUUACACAUGCAAGUCGAACGGCAGCACGGACUUCGGUCUGGUGGCGAGUGGCGAACGGGUGAGUAACAUAUCGGAACGUAUCCAAUAAUGGGGGAUAACGAGUCGAAAGAUUCGCUAAUACCGCAUACGCCCUACGGGGGAAAGCUGGGGACCUUCGGGCCUGGCGUUAAUGGAGCGGCCGAUAUCUGAUUAGCUAGUUGGUGAGGUAAAGGCUCACCAAGGCGACGAUCAGUAGCUGGUCUGAGAGGACGACCAGCCACAUUGGAACUGAGACACGGUCCAGACUCCUACGGGAGGCAGCAGUGGGGAAUUUUGGACAAUGGGCGCAAGCCUGAUCCAGCCAUUCCGCGUGAGUGAAGAAGGCCUUCGGGUUGUAAAGCUCUUUCGCAAGGGAAGAAAACUUAGCCACUAACAUUGGUUGAGGUUGACGGUACCUUGAUAAGAAGCCCCGGCUAACUACGUGCCAGCCGCCGCGGUAA